RNAcentral lists this ribosomal RNA (377 nucleotides) under uncultured Aminicenantes bacterium. RNAcentral describes it as "bacterial SSU rRNA". It matches the Rfam family "Bacterial small subunit ribosomal RNA", at positions 1007 to 1382 of the family's 1533-position model. Lineage: Bacteria; Candidatus Aminicenantota. The record is from RNAcentral.
GGUGACGACCCGGAGCGAAUCCGGGAACCAGCAGAGGUGCUGCAUGGCUGUCGUCAGCUCGUGUCGUGAGAUGUUGGUUAAGUCCCGCAACGAGCGCAACCCUUGCCCUUAGUUGCCAGCGGGUAAUGCCGGGCACGUCUAAGGGGACUGCCCGGAUAACGGGAGGAAGCGGGAUGACGUCAAGUCAGCAUGGCCUUUAUGUCCAGGGCUACACACGUGCUACAAUGGGCGGUACAGAGGGAAGCAAAGCCGCGAGGUGGAGCUAAUCCUUAAAGCCGUCCUCAGUUCGGAUCGCAGGCUGCAACUCGCCUGCGUGAAGUCGGAAUCGCUAGUAAUCGCGGAUCAGCUACGCCGCGGUGAAUACGUUCUCGGGCCUU